AUAGAUAUUUUUAGAUAUUGAAAUUAUUUAAAAUAUUUAUAGGGAGUUACACGUUAUCGUUUCUUAGGUUAUCUAGUUGAAUGAAUUUAAAGGGAAACCUUUUUAGAGGAUUUUUUUUGUAAAAAUAUGGUUAUUUUCUUAAUAGUAGGAAAUUGUGUAAUAACAUAAUUUUAUAAAUGAGGAAUCCUUUCUAUUUUUAAGAAUUUAUUUUAAUUAAUUAGUGGAUUAGUAGAAAAGAAUUUAUUUAUUGAAAUUUUAUAUUAUUUUUAUUUUUAAAAGUUAUUUUUGUUUACUGAUUUUUUCUUAGACUGGUUAAUAAAAUCUUAGCUAUAAUAAUUAUAGUUAUUUCUGCCCUAUGCGAUUCUAGGUAAAUGGCUGUCUUGUGACACUAAGGUAGCAUAAUCAUUAGUUAUUUAAUUGAUAACUUGAAUGAAUGAAUUUUCUAGGAAGAUAUUAUUUUUUUUUUUAAAUUUAUAUUUUUGUUGAAAAUAACAAUAUUUCCUAUAAGACUAAAAGACCCUAAAAUUUUUAUAACUGAGAAGUUAUUUGGUUGGGGAAAUAAAAAGAAAUAAAUAAUAAAUAAUUUAUUUUUCUUUGAACUUUUAAUAAAGAUAAAAGGUAAAAUACUUUAGGGAUAACAGCUUAAUUAUUUUUAAGAGUUCUUAUUAUUAAAAUAGUUUUAGACCUCGAUGUUGGAUUGAGGGUUCUUUUUGGGGCAG
This 719-nucleotide ribosomal RNA is filed under the name Analges oscinum. RNAcentral describes it as "partial large subunit ribosomal RNA". Lineage: Eukaryota; Metazoa; Arthropoda; Arachnida; Sarcoptiformes; Analgidae. The record is from RNAcentral.